Non-coding RNA from Streptococcus sp. HSISB1, 193 nucleotides. The record is from Rfam. Lineage: Bacteria; Bacillati; Bacillota; Bacilli; Lactobacillales; Streptococcaceae.
UAAUUGCUGUGGCAUACGAAUUCACAUCAAUGUGUUGACCGACUAAAUAUUUGUAUUUCGGGAAACAGUAGUCUUUCUCCAGUAUGCAAGCCGUCACACGCGGAAGCGACUAAGGAGAAGCGAGUUGCCCACCUGCUUUUACAUUCGCGGGUUCAAUACAAAUCGUGGAUCACGGUGCCAAUACAGCUUCUCA